This 15823-nucleotide long non-coding RNA is filed under the name Nicotiana benthamiana. RNAcentral describes it as "long non-coding RNA (NBEN_LNC036800)". Lineage: Eukaryota; Viridiplantae; Streptophyta; Magnoliopsida; Solanales; Solanaceae. The record is from RNAcentral.
AACAUUCCAUAAGCUAAUCAGCAGCAACACUUAGAGCAUAAAGCUCAAACUUCUCAUUCUGUCAACCAUAUUAAAUAAUCAAAUGAGACAACGAAGGAAGUAGUGCAUCAAAUAUUCAACAUUCUGUCAAAGUCUUCAAUAUUAACCAAAAGGAAUUCAAGCAAUCCAAAGGUUGAAAAAGAACAACAAGAAAUGCGAAUUUCCAGCAAUUGAAAUGCCAUUAAGACUCUCGAUUUUCAAGUUAGAGCUGAUGUAACAAGAGCACUCAAUUCAACAAGGAGAAUAUUUUACUCAAUAAGGAGAAUAUUUUAGAAGUAAAAACCAAAUUUCAAACUGUCACUGCGAAACUUGAGCACAAUCUCAACUAACAUAAAUUUCCAACAAAUUUAACUUAAUGUAUGUUCAACCAAAUCACAAUUCAAGCAUGCUCAAUCUCUAGUCCCAUAGAAUCCCCUCCAUUAUUCUCAACAAUAAUAACAACUAUUAGAAAUCAGUGGUAACAAGUUUAAACUAGGAGAAUUUCAGCUAUCAAUUUACUCCAAAAACUUCACAAAAGUGACAAAUUUCAAUAAGAUAAGCUUCAGAACUCCAUAGUCUUAGCACAAAGAUAAUUGGUAUUUAAUGCAGGAUUUUCUUUCAAACAUUGGCCCAUGAAAAAUUCAUAGAUUGAAUUAAAAUCACCAAACAAUACUCCAACAAAUAAAGAAUGAUCUCAACAGAACUUUCGCCAGCAUAAAAGAAGUUUGACAAGAGAAUUCCAACUUGACUCUAAGAAUUUCAAUAGUAGAGUCCAUUGACACAACUCAAUUCACACAAUUUCCAACAAACAUCUUCUGAAUUCUAAAACUAACAUAUGUGACUAAAAGUGGAUAGAAGUACAAUAUUUGGUUAUGACCCCGCAAAGCCGAGAACCUAAGAUUUACUAGGAAGACCGGACCCUAUGAGGGUUUCCUACAUAUCACGCUCUAAAAGACGAGAAUCAGGUUUGCGUAAUUCAAAUUGAAUGCGGGCAAGAAAUAAAAAAUACACCUAAUUUUUAAAGAAAACAUUUUCUUUUGUCUCUUAUGAAAAGAACAACAAGAGAUGUGAAUUUCCAGCAAUUGAAAUGGCAUUAAGACUCGAUUUUCAAGUUAGUGAUUACAUACCCAAAUUCUCAUUCUAACACAGAUUUAAAAAAACAUACACAAAUGCUCAAACCCAUAAAACCAACUAUAACUAAUAAUAUAUAAAUCUCAAAGCAGACACGCAUAAAAGGUAAAACAUUAAAGCAACAGUGACAUGGAUAGUGACAUAAAUCGGAAAUACUUGAAUCAUAGAGAAAUGAAUUAGAGUAGUGAAAAAGAGAAAGAGCCACCUUAGUUGCUGAAAAUCUUCAAAAACACGUACAUCGCAAAGGAGUAUCUAAACAUAGUUUUCCUCAACCGAACUACAGACCAUAAACUCGAACUGGAAUCGCAACGGCGAACGACUCAACUUAGCCAGAUUCGGGAUAGUGACCUCGAGCUGGUUUUGCAAUAGCAGUCCUCAGCCGAACUACAGACCAUAAACUCGAACCGGAAUCGCAACGGUGAACGACUCAACUUAGCCAGAUUCGGGAUAGUGACCUCGGGCUGGUUUUGCCUUGGUUUUGAGGUGAUGUUUUCAGUGGGAGUUGCAGUGGCUAGCUUCAAGGUGAAGUAAAGAAGACGAAGUUAAGGGGGGUCCGAUUUUUGAGUUGCGGCUAUUUCCAUUUCUGUUCCUAGGCGUCUCUUCGGUGUUUUUCAAAUGGAGAAGAUGACUGAUCUGCUUCUCAAGAUCCUUAGGUUUUUGUUAUGGUUAUUUUUUGGAGAAGACGGAAUCCGAAGAAAAAGAGCAAAGGAAAGCUGCGCUGGGGUAGGGGUGCUUGGAGAAGAGUACGAGGUGGGUCCUUUUUGUAUCGUCAAAGCUGCACUCCUCUAUUCUUUUUCAAUCCCAGACGUUAUUUAUUUUAUGUAUGUAUGUGUAUGGUCGUCAGAUUCUGGUGUGGUGAGGGUGGAUGGUUGCUGGAGUUUUUCAGGCAAGUUUGGUGAUAGUUUAUGGCUGCUGCUUCAUUUUUGAAGAAGACCUGAAACGCAACUCCCUCUCUCUCUCUAUGCGUAUAUCUUCGAGCUUCAUGAAGAAGAAGCAGCGGUCAUGGCGGGCUGCUAGGGUUUGACGGAGAAGAUGAUCAGGGGGUUAUGUCCAACAAUUGUAUAUCUCUCGUGUAGUGUGUAUUAUUAUGUGUUAGGGGUUUUAGGUGGGGAAAUGGGUUUGGGUAUUAGAUUGGAUCACGUCGAUCCGGUUUGGGGUUGGGUAGGGGCUAAUUUGGGUUGGGAUUUAAAAAGGGACACUGUAUUGGGCUUAAAGAAAAUAGAAUUAGAUAUCAGCCCAAAAAUAUGAUUCUCAUCUUUGUUUUCAUAUUUUUCUAAAUUCUUUUAAAUUAAAAUUAAAAAUAACACCUAAAUUAAUUCCUAGUCAAAUUAUUUUAAAAUUAAACUAAUUACUACAACUAAUACUUACUGCAACUAAUUAAAACCAAAUUAAACACAAACUACCAAAAUUCAAAGAUUAAAUUAAAAGUGCAAAAUUAACCAUUUUUUGUGAUUUCUUACUGCAACUAACUAAAACCAAAUUAAACGGAAAACUACCAAAAUUCAAUGAUUAAAAAUAAAAGUGCAAAAUUAAUCAUUUUUUUAUUAUUAUUAUGUUUUUUUACACAAUUAACUCAAUCUAAUUAAUUCCUAAAUUCUAAUCUAACCUAAGGUAGCAUAAAACUAAAACGUGAUAUUUCUGUAGUUUUUCUAUGAGUUGAAAAAUAUUAAAAAUGCAUGAAAUGCACCUAAAAUAAAGAAAAAUUCCUAAAAUUAAUAAAUAAUUAUAUUGGUCUAUUUUUUAGGAGUUAUUCUCAUGUUGGAAAAAAUCACGUGCUCACAGCUACCCCUCCUUGCUCGGAAACCAGAAGGGUUUUCGUGCAAAGAUAAAGUGAGCAGAUACGAAUGAUUUUUGCCCGUUUGGAUACCCCAUGGGAAGCAUUUUUGAAAGAUUUGACCGCACCCUGCUUCUGAGGUUGCCUACAUAUCCUUGGCUAUAAAGGAAUCAGGCCAAUGUAGUUCAGGAGUGUGUGAGAUAAAGGAAUAUGCCAAGUUGAAGAUCCGGUCGAGGUGUCGUUCCGUCGAGGUUUCGGUCUGCGGUCCUGUUAUUACAUCAAAAUCAAAAGAAUGAAAAAGACUAGCUAAACCUGUCAACUAGGAGUUACAAGGUUCCCACCUAUAAGUCUUCUGAACCUUGAUCUCGAGUCUUGAGUGGUUCUUCAUUCAGACUUUAGAUUUCAACCUUGAUGCUUGUUAUGUGCAGGUACUAGCUCAUUGUUCUUCAGCUUUUCUUAAUUAAGACCGGACAUGUAUGGCUUGCGACCUUAACCGUGACUUGAGAAAUUCAUAUGUUUCAUCUGCUUUUAUUUGGAUUAACUUCUUGUUUGCCUUCCUUUUUUCUUCUUUUCUUCUUCUUCUUUUUUUCUCUUUUUUUCUUUAUUGUGACUAAUUUUUGUUGAUUACCUCGGACUACUGACUCGCAUUCUUGCCACGAGCUUCUUUUGUUGCUUACUUGAAUUGUAAUCUGAGAUGUUUUCCUGUUCUCCAGGUGGAUGCCUGAUUGUUGAACCCCAAUUGUGUUCCCUUGUUCUCCAGGUGAAGGCCUGAUUACCAAAGCUUGAAUGAAACUAAAAUGUAUUCCUUUGUUCUCCAGGUGGGUGCCUGAUUAUCAAAACUUGACACUUGAAAAAUAUUCCCUUGUUCUACAGGUGGACGCCUGAUUACCAAGACUUGAAUUUUGAAAAGUAUUCCCUUNNNNNNNNNNNNNNNNNNNNNNNNNNNNNNNNNNNNNNNNNNNNNNNNNNNNNNNNNNNNNNNAGUGGGUGCCUGAUUACCAAACUUGCAUCUUGAAAAAUAUUCCCUUGUUCUACAGGUAGGCACCUGAUUACCAAAACUUGAAAUUUGAAAAUAUUCCCUCAUUCUAUAGGUGGGUGCCUGAUUACCAAACUUGUAUCUUGAAAAAUAUUCUCUUGUUCUCCAGGUGGGCACCUGAUUACCAAGACUUGAAUUUUUGAAAAAUAUUCCCUGAUUCUAUAGGUGGGCGCCUCAUUGCCAGAACUUGAAAUUUUGAAAAAUAUUCCCUUGUUCUACAGGUGGGCGCCUGAUUACCGAGACUUGAAUUUUGAAAAAUAUUCCCUUGUUCUUCAGGUGGGCGACUGAUUACCAAAACUUGAAAUUUAAAAAAUAUUCCCUUAUUCUCCAGGUGGGCGCCUGAUUACCAAAACAUGAAAUUUUAAAAGUAUUCCCUUGUUCUAAAGGUGGGCGCCUGAUUACCAAAACUUGAAAUUUUAAAAAAUAUUCCCUUGUUCUACAGGUGGGCGCCUGAUUACCAAAGCUUGAAUGAAACUGAAAGGUAUUCCCUUGUUCUCCAAGUGGGUGCCUCAUUACCAGAACUUGACACUUGAAAAGUAUUUCCUUGUUCUACAGGUGGGCUCCUGAUUACCAAACUUGUAUCUUGGAAAAUAUUCCCUUGUGCUACAUGUGGGUGCCUGAUUACCAAAACUUCAAAUUCUGAAAAGUAUUCCCCGUUCUACAGGUGGGUGCCUGAUUACCAAAACUUAAAAUUUAAAAGAUAUUCCCUUGUUCUCCAGCUGGGCGCCUGAUUACCAAAACAUGAAAUUUGAAAAAUAUUCCCUUGUUCUACAGGUGGGCGCCUGAUUACCAGCACGUGAAAUUUGAAAAAUAUCCCCUUUUCUAUAGUUGGGCGCCUGAUUACCAAGACAUAAAUCUUGAAAAAUAUUCCCUUGUUCUACAGAUGGGCGCCUGAUUUCCAAAAUUUGAAUUUUGAAAGAUAUUCCCUGAGACUAUUGUUUGUGUACCUGAUCACAACAAAACAAACAAAACACAAGAAAUUCUUCCUGCCCCAGUUUGGUGCUGGGCGGAUCCGUGACUGUUAAUCAAAUCCCCUUACCAAAUAUCUCUAAAUCUAAGAUAAGUCCCAUUAUGCAGGAGGGUCCUGACAAUUCUUAACUGAUGACAACUUUAAGAUUAAGAUAUGUUUUCCAAAGGCUUUAUUUUCCACUAUGUCUUGUUAUUCGAGUUAUGUUUGGUGGGGAUCUACUGUGACUAGUGAUUAAAACUACUUCCCAUUAUCCAGGCGGAUCCUGAAAACUCAUAAUUUGAUGACAAAAUGUGUCUGCUUGGGGGGUAGUAUUUAGAGCAAUGUCCCAUUAUCCAGGGGGUCCUGACAACUCCUACGAUUAAAUCACAUUAUCCAGGCGAAUCCUAAUGACUCUUGCUGGGGAAGUAUUUGGGUUUGGCCAUGCCACCUGACUGUUUGUGUUCUAGGCUAAGUGCCAUUUUUCAGGAGGGUCCUGACAACUCUUAACUGAAUCCUACUUCAACAUGAAAGUAAUUUUAUGCCCUUUGCUAUCCAUGAUUACCCCUAACCUUUGAAUGAGUCCCAUUUUCAAGGAGGGUCCUGAGGGUUCUAACUUAAAUGUCAAUUCCAAUUUCUGGGUUUUUCUGCUAGUGAUUAUUGUCCGGGGGGGUUUCUGCGACUCUUACUAUGGGAGGUGUUGGUGUCUGCCCAUGUUACCCGCGCCUGUAUGAGUUUUAAACUGAGUCCUAUUUCAACUUCCACGCCCCCUUUCAACCCUCAAUUUUUUCUAUUGGGGUUUGCUAAUAAAGGUUUGUCCCGAUAUACCCUGGCUGGGGAGAAUAUUUAUGAUGGAUUACGUUCCUUUUGAGCUUUAACUGGGUUUCAUUUUCAGAUGGCCCUGAGGUUUUGAUCGUACCUGCCAUGUGCCUACCUUCCCCUAUGAAUGGCCCCCCUUAAACUGUUCGGGAAUUUUCUUCCCAUGUGUCAAUCAAAGAAAAUUUGUCAGUUUGAAAGCGGCCUCCUCACUGUCGUGUUUCGUUGUGUUCCAAUUUCCAUGUUGAUGAUGAGUUUCCUGAGUUGGUUGGCUAACCCCCAAACCUUUAUGGCUUUACUUUGCUCGCCCACUACUGUGUUACAUUCCUAGCCCUUUUGCCAGAAUUCUUGCACCUUUCCCGAGAUUACCAAGUCNNNNNNNNNNNNNNNNNNNNNNNNNNNNNNNNNNNNNNNNNNNNNNNNNNNNNNNNNNNNNNNNNNNNNNNNNNNNNNNNNNNNNNNNNNNNNNNNNNNNGUCAAUGUAUUAUGCUUGGCUGACCCUCUGACCCUUGUGGCUUUACUCUACUCCCCCAUCCUUGUGUUGCACUUUCGACCCUCUUGCUAGAACUUUUACAUCCUUUCUUGAGGUUGCUGAGUCAACGUAUAACGCUUGGUUAAUCCUUGUGGCCUUUCCUACUUCGUGUUGCGCUUUUGACUUUCUCCAGAAUCCUUGCAUCCAUUCUGAGAUUUCCCGGUCAGUGCGUUAUGCUCGACCGUCCUUCGAGCCUUGUGGCUUUACUUUGCUUCCCAUCUUUGUGUUACAUUUCUUACCCUUUGUCAGAACCCUUACAUCUUUUCUAAGAUUGCUAAGUCAGUUUACUAUGCUUGGCUAACCUUUGCGGUCUUUUCCAUCUUUGUGUUCUCCUCCUUCAGUUGCAAUGGUAACUUUGAUUUCACCUUGAAAGACAUUGCCUGCUUAUUGGCUAACCAAUUUCUCUGUCACCCUUAUCGCAGAAAAUACCCCUUCUCCAUUUAGACCCCAUAUUCUCUAUUCGUUGCAUCAUUUAUGAGCUGACAUCCUCCCAUUCUUUUUGUUUCGCAUGACCCCCCAAAGCACGUCCCUCGCCCCCCACUUCGUAUGCAUGCUGUAAUUCGUUGCACUGCUUAUGAACUAACAUGUUCCCAUCCUUUGAAUUUCACAUGACCCCCUAAUGCACGUCCAUUGCCCCCACUUCGUGUUUAUGCUAUUUUUAUUGACUUAAACCACUGGCCUUGACCUUGAGGUUUGUUGCUCCUUCACUUGUCAUGAUGAUUGAUUUUCAUGUGAAGACCAUGUUUGCCUCUUGACUAACUGCUUCCUUUGUAAAACUUCCUGAACAUACCUCUUCUCAUUCGAAUCCAAUACCUUCUAUCUGUUGCAUUGUUCCUAAACAAACGUCUACCAAACCCUUUUGUUUCACCUGAUCCCCAAAGUAUAUUUACCAACCAUAUUGUAUAUGAUGUUCUUUCCUGACCCAAAUCAAUGGCUCUGACCUUGAGGUCUACUACUUCAUCGCUAGCCAUGAUAACUUCGAUUUCUUCUCGGAACACUUUUGAUCCGUUCACUCUAGCCCUCAUUCUAUUAAAUUGCUCAUGAUUUUAUCUAUACCGAACCUUUGUAUUUCAAACGAAUCCAAAGCAUGUUGAUUGUCACCAGCUCAGUGUGAAUGUUGUUCCUUCCUGACUUAUCCUGCUUUGAUGUGACAAACAGAUCCCAUUUUGUCCAAUUGGAAAGAUGGUGGCAGAUUUUGAAGUCAUUUCUCACUUGUUUUGACCCAACAAACUCAAGAAGAGGGAAUGAACGAAACAAAAGGAACAGAGUAGAGGAUAAUGAAAGGAGAUGAUUCCUAACAAAAAAAAGUAAAAGGUAGAAACCUAUAAAAUGUGGGUACCAACUCUAAUGACCAUGACAUGCACCUACGGCCUAUUUUGUUAAGCAAAUAUGAUGUUCAACUCUUGUUAUACCUCCCAAACCGUGAAGCUAGCCUUCGAUGCUCCGAUUACCCAAUCUGAUUCUUAAUCCUUAUUCGACUCGUAGAGCCCAAAGGGUUUUCACCAUCAAGCCUCUCUCAUUUUGUUCUUUUCUCUCAACUUACAGUGGCCUCAAGGUUCCUGUGAGGGUCUUUACCAAUAAGACUCUCUCAUCUUUUUCAUUUUUAAACAUUUUUUUAUUUCUCUCAGCUCCCGCCACCUUACGGUGCCCGUAUGGGUUUUCACCAAUAAGACACUCAUUUUUAUUAUCUUUCCUGCUUUGACCAGAGUGUUGCCCCUGACAUGAAUCACCUCUACUUGCUCAACUUGGCAUCACUUGAAGACUAAUCAGAAGGUCUUUCUUUGGACCGUAAUGUGGGCUUUAGGAUAGGGUUAAAAAAGAAAGGGUAUCAAAGGCUCAAUACAAUUCAAAUGGGUUUAAAACUACAACAUUCGGAACCAGAUUUCUCGCAACAACUACCAUUUCUGCCUCAGUUUCGUGCUUGGGGGCUUUUGGAUUUUUAUUUUGAUGAGACCGAAUCGUGAGGCUGCCUACGUAUCUUUAAUAGGAAUCAGGUCAAACGUAGUUCAUAAUUCCUUGUUUUUGUUGUUGUUUGUCUGUUUUCCCUUUUUUCUUUCUGUUUUUUUCUUUUUUUGUUUUGUUUUCUUUCUCUUUUCAUUUUCCUUUCCUCUUUUCUCUUUUCUCUUUUCUCUUUUCUUUUCUUGUUUUUCGUUUCUCUUUCUUUUCUUUUGUUUUCAUUCUUUCCAUUCUUUCCGUUCUUUUCCUUUCACUGCCUUCUCGCACUUGCAUUUCUGAUCUUUGUUACUGAUUCCGAAAGAAGGGUAUGAAAGAAAAUAAUUAAAGCUCAAAAGGGUUAGCAAAGAAUAAAAUGUUUAGAUAGCAGAAUAAAAUGUCUUCGCCAUUGCAAUCUUCAAAAUAUGCCAAGACAAGCAAGUACAAUCAGUCAAAGGAAUCAUACAUAAUAUCUCAUGACUGCAUCAGUAUUGAUAGCCAUUUCUACACAUUUUUCUUCCUCAUUUGUCAAAUAUAAUGAACCAUUGGACAACAUUCCAGCUACAACAAAUGGUCCAUGCUAGUUUGGUAAACUUGCUGUUAGGAUUUAUUCAGGUUCUAUCUGCCCGUGGUUCGGGCUUCAAAAGAUCUCAAAGGGUCUAAAUCUAUUCUGCUUUCCCGCAAGUACAUCUAUUGCCUUAUGAGUAAUAUUUUAAGACCGGUCAUGGGGUUAUGCAUGCAUGGCAUAUCAUUAAAGCCAACAAGGAAAAGAAUUGUAAAAAGAAAAGAAUACUAAACCAAAUGAAUAUAUAUAACGGAAAGUAGAAAAUUCCAUUAGACAGAUAGUGAAAGAACUUGGAUGACAAAACAAGUAAAAAGACUGGGGUUAAAACCCUGGAACGAAUCUAGACGACACUAAACAAAACUAGGAUAAAUGAAAGGAUAGAAGGGUUUAAAUCACAAGACAAUAUCCAGAUUACAAACCUGAAAAUAACCCGGACAAUAGAAAUGACAACAAAAUAAAUCACACAAACUCCUCUCUGGCUGACCAAGAAAUGGAGCAUCUUCCCAAUUACCCUUCACGACAUAUUAGCCACUGGGUUCCACAUCAAUAACACUAGGCACUUCACAAGCCUUCAUCACAUUGUUCUUAACACAUUGCUUUUGGGUUCCUUUAGCCGACUCUUUCUGAAGAUCAACCUAUGAUAGCGCUGAAAGCAUAGCAGCACUCGUGCGUCCGAGGCUCCCAGAAGAACUAUCACAUUCCAACAAGUUCAUCUCAUUAUGCACAGGCGAUAGACUUUGGCUAGUGUCUGUUGCAUCCGAAUUUUGCACGACAAUGUCACUUGUAUCAAUAAGCUUCUGAAUUGCUUUCUGUAGACUCCAACACUUCUCUGUGUCAUGCCCCCGGGCAUCUGAGCAGUAUGAGCACCUUUGAGAAAUAUCAAACUUCUUUGAUAGAGGGUGUGACGUUUUUAUCUGAAUCGGCUUCAACAUGUCCAAUUGCUUCAACCCUUGGAACAAACUGGCAUAUGAUACUCCAAUGGGGGUGAAAGCCUUUUCUUUUUUCAGUAACCUCUCAUUCUUACAUGCUUGGGUGGGCUGGAAACCUGAUCCAGAAGGUUUUUGGUAUGCUCGUGGGGGCGGGCAGGCAUUCUGUGGAGCUAGUGAUGUACGAUUUUGGGAGUUCUCUUAAGAGAAGCAGUGUUGGGGAGGAUCAUCUGGUACGAAAGGAUAUCCACGAGGACGAUGUUGAGGCUGGAAAUGUUGAUCAUCUUUUCUAUUUCUCUUUCUUCCGCCGAAGCUUACUUGGAUGUUCUGAAUAUCUUUCGAACCACUCAUGAUUUUGCUCUAUUUCUCUUUCUUCCGCCGAAGCUUACUUGGAUGUUCUGAAUGUCUUUCGAACCACUCAUGAUUUUGCUUGACUUGAUUCCCUCUUCUAAUUUCUCCCCCAUUUUUAACACAUCAUUGGAAGGUUCUGCCAAGGCCGGGGCCAAUGACUAAAGUAGGUGGGCUCAUGGGCUUGUAGGAAAAGGUCAUCCAUUUCUUGUUUACCAAUCGAGGUAUUUACUCGAGUAGCUUGCACCCUCCAUCUGAGCCCAAACUCCCUAAAGCUCUCCUCUGGUUUCUUUUUCAUUUUAGAUAGUGAAGAGCGGUCUGGGAUAAUACUUGACUUGUAUUGAAAGUAUCAAACAAAAUCUUGAGCCAUGUCACCUAAUGUAGGCUAUUUAUCGACAUCUUGAUAAGUAUACCAGUCCAAUGCUGCCCCAGUAAGGAUCUUGAUGAAAUAUGCUAUCAACAGGUCAUCUUUAUCUCUAACGCCUCUCAUUUCACUGCAAUAAACCAUCAGGUGGGCUACCGGAUCGCCACACCCACCGUAUAAGUUAAGUUUUGGCACUUUGAACCCUAUAGGUAGGCGAACGUUAGGGGAUACAAAAAGUUCUUUGCAAGCCAUAUUACACUGGUCUCCCAUUCCUUGCUUGUUCUUCAAGGACUGUCUUAUACCUUCCAGCCUCUGGGGUAUUCCAUUCCGCCCUUCUUUUCCUAUGAAUUUUUCAUUCCCAACAUGAGGCUCAUCCUGCAGGCUUUGCUUGUACGAGUCAGGAACCUUGUGGGCCACCUCUGCGAGAUAGUAUUGGAUAUCAUGAGCUCUAGUAAAUAUUCAUUGUUAGGGAUUGUUGGAGGGCAAGAAAUGGAGCUACUGGGGUGGUUGGGAAAACUAUAGUAAGCGGGUACAUCUGGAGGGUAUGAAGGAUCUUUCAAAACCAUGAUCGGAGUUUGGAGAAGGAUGGAAUCUAAGCAGCUGGGUGGUGGCGGGGGUGCUGCUGUCCCAGUCAUCCAAGCCUGCUGACGGAGCUACUGGGGUGGUUGGAAAAAUUGUAGUAAGCGGGUGCAUCUAGAGUAUGGAGGAUCAUUUAAAACCACGAUCGGAGUUUGUAGAAGGGUAGCAUCUAAGCAGCUGGGUGGUAGCGGGGGUGGUGUUGUCCCGGUCAUCCAAGCAUGAUACAUUUCUGCCAUGUGUUGUCUCAACCUUUGUACCUCUUCAAUUAACCCACUGUUCUGCUCAACCAACUGCUUUCGAGCCCCGGUAUCGACCAACUCAGUUCUAUCGUUGUUGUCUGUGUUGCCUUUGACUUUGUGUUGUAGAGGAGACUUACUACUUUAAAAACCAAAAACCAACCACCCUUCUUUUUUAGUAUAACAAAAUGAAGCUAUCAUGGUAGCGUUAGGGCAUUAAACAACUAAAAUAUCACAUUGCGUGCAAUGCACCAGUCACAGUUACCGGUUCUAACAUGACUUCAAGGGUAUAAAGGUCAUAUGGUAUCAUCCCAUUUUGUUCAUUUCAACCUCUCUGUUUCUUUGCUUUUCUGGAACUUGCCUGAUCAUUUUCCUUUCUCUUUUUUUAUUUAUCACUCUUUCCUUUCCUCUAAUUUUCAUGUUCCAUAAUUACACCAUUUUUUCUUUUUUUUUCUUUCUCUUUUUUUUUCGAUUUUUAUCUUUAUCUCUUUUUGUUUCUAUAAAACAAAAUGAUUCGAUCAAACCCUAUGUAGGUUGCCUACGUAUCAUGACCACGCAUGAAUCAGAUCUUUGCGUAGUUUUGAAAGAUCGAGAAUUAAGCAAAUAAACUAACUCAUUGUUGUUUAUUUUUAUACAACUCAAACCAUGAAAGCUCUAAAAACACAUUUUUUCUUUUCCUUUUUUUGAAAAUCGUCUUGAAACUAUUUCAAUACCACCAAAACCAUAUGAUACUAAGCAACAAAGAUACAAAUCCGACCUUAUCUCGCUCUUGACCCUUUUUAAAGAUAAGCUACUAGGUGGCGGCCAAGUCAUUUACAAAAGAUGGUCACACAUGCAAAAGCUGAUCAAUUCUGCAAUUCUGGAUAGCCUCAAAUGACAAUGUUGCAGCCUCAAUUCACCUCAAACAAUUUUCAUAAACAUUUGUAAACCUCAACAAAUCACCCAAAAAGUAGCAAUCCCAAAAAAACAAAUCUUUGUCUUUUCAUUCUUUACUUCAUGCUUUCUCUUCUUCUUUUUCAUCAUUUUUUAAUUUGCUUUAAGGAUGAUCCAAAGUAACAAAAACUAAAUACUAAAUACUACUAAAUAACAAUAGCAAAAAUCAGCCAGAAAAAUAUAGUAAAUAUAUUAAAAACAAUUAACUACUAACAUUACUAAGUAUUCCCUAAAGCCUACAACUAAAAAAAUUAUUAUACUAGAUAAGAUUAUAUUUUGGGAACUCUACUUUCUUUGUUCAUGAAAAUAAAGUUAAUACUCUAAAAAAUGUAACUCUUUUGUAGUUUUUUUCCUAAUUUUGUUUAUAAACCAACUACAAAGUGAAAUAAAGACUAAAAUAUCGAGAUUAAACUUAAUAAAUAUAUUACAUGCUAAAAUGUGACUGAAAAUCCAAAUAAUACGGUUGUAACUUGACUGCUAAUUGAAACUCAGCAACUAUGCAGGAUCAAACUCAAAAUGUAAUUAAAAUUCUGAACCAAGCACAAAAUUGUGCUACAAACAACUCUACAGAUUUACAUUUAUAGCCUGUUGGACCAACUGACACCAAACUAAACUAGCAGCAACAAACAAGGUAACUUCAAGCAAUAUUUUCAGCUUGUAAUUCCCUAUUAAUUGAAUCACCAAAACAUUUGUAAUCAACUGAAUUCAACUGUGCAGAAAAAUCAGCUUGCACUCAUUUCAGCUUGUAAUUCCCUGUUAACUCAAUCACCAAAACAUUUGUAAUCAACUGAAUUCAACUGUGUAGAAAAAUCAGCUUGCACUCACUAUACACUGGUGCAAAAAGUGCAAAUUUUCAAGGUUGUUUCAACAACUUUCAAUAGCAGUCCAAAACACUCUUAUUUGAGUUCAAAGUUCUUCAAACAAGCUCUAAUGUCCACACUCAGUUUAAGGUUUACAAAAUAUUGUAGAAAAAUAUAAAAAAUGCUUAGGAAACUUGUAUUACAUCAACAGAUUUCAUUUAAAUGCAAAAUUCUAAGAUUCGAACAAGCUGGCAGGUUCGCUACUCCAUUGCUUCUCAAAACUCAGAACUUCAGCAACAGCUUGAGCACUAAAUUCAGCAGCAGUAGGCACAGGAAUUUUCAGCUCAGAACGACGACCUCAAUAGUAGAAAUAAAGCAUUGGAAUCACAGUAAUAUUGAGUCAGAAUAACCACUAAGUACAGCUGAAUAGUGCAGGAUCUGCUUUCAAGAAAAAAACAGCUCAAAACUUGCAUUUCAAUAGUGUAUUGUUGGCAUAUAAACUGAAGCAACGCAAUUGAGUUAAUUGAAACCAAACCUUUUGCAAAAUUACCUCAACUGUUAUGAAAAAAAUAGUAACAACAAUCAAUUAAAGAAAUGUGUAAAUCUCCAUCGUUGAGCGAAAAAUGAACAAUGCAGGGCUGUAGACAGCAGCAACAAUCAAUUAAAGAAAUGUGUAAAUCUUCAUUGUUGAGCAAAAAUGAACAAUGUAGGGCUGUGGACAGCAAGUUGAAAUCCUUUACAACGACAGAAAACAAGCAGCAAAUUAUUUUCAAGCAAACAUACAACUUUUGUCAGCAGAUUCUAACCAAUUGGACAAUAAUUUAUGUAACAAGAGAACUCAAUUCAUCAAGGAGAACAUUUUAGAAGUAAAAACCAGAUUUCAAACUAUCUCUGCGAAACUUGAGCACAAUCUCAACUAACAUAAAUUUCCAACAGAUUUAGCUUACUGUAUGUUCAACCAAAUAACAAUUCAAGCAAGCUCAAUCUCUAGUCCCACAUAAUCCCCUCUAUUAUACUCAACAAUAAUAACAACUAUUAGAAAUCAGUGGUAACAAGUUCAAACUAGGAGAAUUUCAGCUAUCAAUUUACUCCAAAAACAUCACAAAAGGGACAAACUUCAAUAAGACAAACUUCAGAACUCCAUAGUCUUAGCACAAAGAUAAUUGGUAUUUAGUGCAGGAUUUUCUUUCAAACAUUGGCCCAUGAAAAAUUCAUAGAUUGAAUUAAAAUCAACAAACAAAGAAUGAUCUCAACAGAACUUUCGCCAGCAUAAAAGAAGUUUGACAAGAGAAUUCCAACUUGAACUCUAAGAAUUUCAAUAGUAGAGUCCAUUGAAACAACUCAAUUCAAACAAUUUUCAACGAACAACUUCUGAAUUCUAAAACUAACAUAUGUGGCUAAAAGUGGAUAGAAGUACAAUAUUUGGCUAUGAUCCCGCAAAGCCGAGAACCUAAGAUUUACUAGGAAGACCGGACCAUAUGAGGGUUGCCUACGUAUCACGCUCUGAAAGACGAGAAUCAGGUUUGCGUAGUUCGGACAGAUUGAAUGCGGGCAAGAAACAAAAAAUACACCUAAUUUUUAAAGAAAAUAUUUUCUUUUGUAUCUUAUGAAAAGAACAACAAGAGAUGCGAAUUUCCAGCAAUUGAAAUGCCAUUAAGACUCUCGAUUUUCAAGUUAGUGAUUAUAUACCCAAAUUCUCAUUCUAACACAGAUUUAAAAAAACAUACAUAAAUGCUCAAACUCAUAAUACCAACUAUAACUAAUAAUAUAUAAAACUCAAAGCAGACACGCAUGUAAAACAUUAAAGCAACAGUGACAUGGAUAGUGACAUAAAUCGGAAAUACUUGAAUCAUAGAGAAAUGAAUUAGAGUAGUGAAAAAGCGAAAGAGCCACCCUAGUUGCUGAAAAUCUUCAAAAACACGUACAUCGCAAAGGAGUAUCUUAAAAUAGCAGUCCUCAACCGAACUACAGACCAUAAACUCGAACCGGAAUCGCAACGGCGAACGACUCAACUUAGCCAGAUUCGAGAUAGUGACCUCGGGCUGGUUUUGCCUUGAUUUUGAGGUGAUGUUUUCAGUGGGAGUUGCAGUGGCUAGCUUCAAGGUGAAGUAAAGAAGACGAAGUUAAGGGGGGUCCGAUUUUUGAGUUGCGGCUAUUUCCAUUUCUGUUCCUAGGCGUCUCUUCGGUGUUUUUCAAAUGGAGAAGAUGACUGAUCUGCUUCUCAAGAUCCUUAGCUUUUUGUUAUGGUUGCUUUUUGGAGAAGACGGAAUCCGAAGAAAAAGAGCAAAGGAAAGCUGCGCUGGGGUAGGGGUGCUUGGAGAAGACGACGAGGGGGGGUCCUUUUUGGAGAAGACGUUAUUUUUUUUUUAUGUAUGUAUGUGUAUGGUCAUCAGAUUCUGGCGUGGUGAGGGUGGAUGGUUGCUGGAGUUUUUUAGGCGAGUUUGGUGAUAGUUUAUGGCUGUUGCUUCAUUUUUGAAGAAGACCUGAAACGCAGCUGCCGCUCUCUCUCUCUCUCGGCGUAUAUCUUCGAGCUUCAUGAAGAAGAAGAAGUGAUCAUGGUGGGCUGCUAGGGUUUGACGGAGAAGAUGACCGGGGGGUUAUGUCCAAAAGUUGCGCAGCUGCGCUGAUAUUCUUCCAGGCGUGUAUAUCUCUCGUGUAGUGUUUAUUAUUAUGUGUUAGGGUUUUUAGGUGGGGAAAUGGGUUUGGGUAUUAGGUUGGAUCGGGUCGACCCGGUUUGCGGUUGGGUAGGGGCUAAUUUGUGUGUGAUUUUAAAAUGGGAAAUUGUAUUGGGCUUAAAAAAAUAGAACUAGAUAUCAGCCCAAAAAUAUUAUUCUCAUCUUUAUUUUCAUAUUUCUCUAAAUUCGUUUAAGUUAAAAUUAAAAAUAAC